This 252-nucleotide ribosomal RNA is filed under the name uncultured bacterium. Its description in RNAcentral is "partial 16S ribosomal RNA". It matches the Rfam family "Bacterial small subunit ribosomal RNA", at positions 524 to 776 of the family's 1533-position model. The record is from RNAcentral.
UACGUAGGGUGCAAGCGUUAUCCGGAAUUACUGGGCGUAAAGCGUCUGUAGGCGGCGAAGUAAGUAGAGAGUUAAAUCACGGGGCCCAACCCCGUGGCCGUUCUCUAAACUGCUUUGCUAGAGGUAAACAGGGGUGACUGGAAUUUCUGGUGUAGGGGUAAAAUCCGUUGAUAUCAGAAGGAACGCUAAAAGCGAAGGCAGGUCACUGGGUUUUUCUGACGCUGAGAGACGAAAGCGUGGGUAGCAAACAGG